Molecule: long non-coding RNA, 833 nt
Filed under: Ornithorhynchus anatinus (platypus)
Lineage: Eukaryota; Metazoa; Chordata; Mammalia; Monotremata; Ornithorhynchidae
Description: lncRNA (ENSOANG00000038442.1)
Source: RNAcentral
UCCCCACGCUCCCCUCCAUCUCCCCCCUCAAAAAAAACAAAAAACUGGGCUCACGUUGACAGGCAUACAGAGAGUGUAUGUAAAGUAAUCACGAAGCUCUGCAAAACAAAAGUUUGAAGAAAAAGGAAAACUGAGGUUUCACUGUCAUGUGUAAGCAUUCACAUCCGUGGCUUAGAAACAUUUGCCUUGGGCUUGUUAGAAACUUGAAACCAUCACUUGCAGGCAGACAGCUUUACAAAGGUGUGUUCUUUUCAGAGGCAACAUAAUUACUUCUCAGCAGACAGUGCUUACCUGAUCCCCUAUUGAAAAUGAGGCUCAUAAAGGAUGCAAGGAAAGCGGCCCCUGAGAGCAAAGAGGCAGCUGAGUUGAUGUGAAGGCAGGCAGUUAUUGAUCUGCCAAAAGAAGGGCCUUUGUCACAAGGAUGUCAGACAGCCACUUCUGUUCUGUAUUCCCCAUUGUGUCCUCAGGUCUUGCCCGCAGCCAGAGUGGGAGCAGGAAGAGACUGAGAUCCUGGUGGUCUUGGGAGAGGAAGAUGCCAGGAGAGGGAUUGGUGGAAGAGCACUUUACCCCCUUGUGAUCCUCAGAGACGGAUUCCUCCAAAUGAUAAACAUCAGUUCCUGAUCUGCCUCUCCCUUGGGGAUAAGUGAAAACUGCAGGAGAAGGAAGGCCCUAAAGGUGGAUAGAGUCCUUCCUGCUGGCCCCUGCCUAGUUUCUGCUCUCAACGGUUCAGGAGGCCUUAAGGAGAGGUAGGAUAUCUAGUCAUGGCUUUCUCCUAUCCACCAUCCCACAACCUCUCUCCAGGUAUGUGAACUAUGGUAGGAGAAGUGAUGCGU